RNAcentral lists this ribosomal RNA (465 nucleotides) under uncultured bacterium. RNAcentral describes it as "bacterial SSU rRNA". It matches the Rfam family "Bacterial small subunit ribosomal RNA", at positions 338 to 795 of the family's 1533-position model. The record is from RNAcentral.
CCUACGGGAGGCUGCAGUGGGGAAUAUUGGACAAUGGGGGAAACCCUGAUCCAGCGAUGCCGCGUGGAUGAUGAAGGCCUUCGGGUCGUAAAGUCCUUUUCUGAGGGAAGAACUGUCUGGCGAGGAAAUGCGCUGGAUUUGACGGUACCUCAGGAAUAAGCAACGGCUAACUCCGUGCCAGCAGCCGCGGUAAUACGGAGGUUGCAAGCGUUGUUCGGAAUAACUGGGCGUAAAGGGAGCGCAGGCGGCUUGGUAAGUCUAAAGUGAAAUUCCAGGGCUCAACCCUGGACGUGCUUUGGAUACUGCCUGGCUUGAGUACGUGAGAGGAGAUUGGAAUUCCAGGUGUAGCGGUGAAAUGCGUAGAUAUCUGGAGGAACACCGGUGGCGAAAGCGGAUCUCUGGCACGUUACUGACGCUGAGGCUCGAAAGCGUGGGGAGCAAACGGGAUUAGAUACCCCAGUAGUC